AGUUCGAUCAUGGCUCAGAUUGAACGCUGGCGGAUGUUUUUACACAUGCAAGUCGAACGGCAGCACGGACUUCGGUCUGGUGGCGAGUGGCGAACGGGUGAGUAAUGUAUCGGAACGUGCCUAGUAGCGAGGGAUAACUACGCGAAAGCGUGGAAGCAAUAAUGCAUACUGCCCUUCGGGGGAAAGCGGGGGGACCUCGGGCCUCGCACUAUUAGAGCGGCUGAUAUCGGAUUAGCUAGUUGGUGGGGUAACGGCUCACCGGCGACGAUCCGUAUGCUGGUUUGAGGACGACCAGCCACACUGGGACUGAGACACGGCCCAGCUCCUACGGGAGGCAGCAGUGGGGAAUUUUGGACAAUGGGGGAAACCCUGAUCCAGCCAUCCUGCGUGUGCGAUGCGAAGGCCUUCAAGCUGUAAAGCACUUUUGGCAGGAGGAAGAAACGGCACGGGAUAAUACCCCGUGCAACUGACGGUACCUAAGAAUAAGCACCGGCUAACUACGUGCCAGCAGCCGCGGUAAUACGUAGGGUGCAAGCGUUAAUCGGAAUUACUUGGCGUAAGCGGCGCAGCGUUCUCGGAAAGAGGAUGAACCCAGCCAAUCCGAACCCGCAUUUAACUACUCCGGCCGAGUAAACAGAGGAAGAAUCUGCGUGAGCAGUGAAAUCAUAGAUAUGCGGAGGAAAUCACCGACGGCAGAAGUGGCAUCUCCUGAUGAACACGACGUUCAUGCCGCACUGAAAAGGUAGCAAACAGAUUGAUACCUGAAGAACACGUUCACACCGAACGAUGUGUCAACCAUCAGUUAACCUUCGAGCCUUGUGCGCAGCGAUCGCAAGAAGUUGAUCGCCUGGGGAGACAAUGCAAGAUUAGUAACUCAGGAAUUGACGAGACUAUAAUAAGGUGAUGAUGUGAUUAAUUCGAUGCAACGCGAAACCUGCUCUACCCUUACAUGUCUGGAAUCCCGAAGAGAUUUGGGAGUGCUCGCAAGAACCGGAACACAGGUGCUGCAUGGCUGUCGUCAGCUCGUGUCGUGAGAUGUUGCCGGGUCCCGCAACGAGCGCAACCCUUGUCAUUAGUUGCUACGAAAGGGCACUCUAAUGAGACUGCCGGUGACAAACCGGAGGAAGGUGGGGAUGACGUCAAGUCCUCCUGGCCCUUAUGGUAGGGCUUCACACGUCAUACAAUGUCACUGGGACAGAGGGUCGCUAACCCGCGAGGAGCCAAUCCCAGAAACCCGAUCGUAGUCCGGAUCGCAGUCUGCAACUCGACUGCGUGAAGUCGGAAUCGCUAGUAAUCGCGGAUCAGCAUGUCGCGGUGUGCAAUACGUUCCCGGGUCUUGUACACACCGCCCGUCACACCAUGGAGUGGGUUUUACCAGAAGUAGUUAGCCUAACCGUAAGGAGGGCGAUUACCACGGUAGGAUUCAUGACUGGGUGAAGUCGUAACAAGGUAA
This 1453-nucleotide ribosomal RNA is filed under the name uncultured Bordetella sp. RNAcentral describes it as "partial 16S-23S ribosomal RNA intergenic spacer". It matches the Rfam family "Bacterial small subunit ribosomal RNA". Lineage: Bacteria; Pseudomonadati; Pseudomonadota; Betaproteobacteria; Burkholderiales; Alcaligenaceae. The record is from RNAcentral.